Long non-coding RNA from Ctenopharyngodon idella (grass carp), 567 nucleotides. RefSeq lists it as uncharacterized. Lineage: Eukaryota; Metazoa; Chordata; Actinopteri; Cypriniformes; Xenocyprididae. The record is from RefSeq and is a predicted model, not a curated record. The transcript is spliced from 2 exons.
UCCUACACCUACCCCUAAACCUACCCAUAACCAUUUCUUUAAACUACCUACUGUUAUAAAUAAAAAGAAUGACAGACAAACAAGCGUAAUCACAAUAAUUUAUUUUUUGCGAAAAUGUCAAAAGUGGUACCAAAAGUAGUUCAAAUGAUGAUGAGUUCCAGUCACAGUCCUCUCUGGCGGUAAUAGUUUUUAUAGGGUACAGAGCAGAAUUUAACUUAUUAAUCCAUGAAAUUAUGAUAAAUCCGGCUUCUCUCCGUGAAGGCGCGCACUCAUUUCAAAUGUCAAUCCACUGAAACACGGCAUGUCGCAAUCUGUGACGAAGCAGGUGAGAACCAAUGAGCGUUCGAUAUCAGUGCCGUAAACCAUGUCGUAACGCUUCUCGAGGGUGGCGCUACUUUCAAAUUUGAAUCAUAACGAGCGCGAGCUUUGACUGUGACGGUCGCUGUUGCUGAGAAUGAAGAUGAAGAUCGAUGGAUAAAGGGCUGAAUUUGGAUCUGUUCCUUACAAACAUAUGGAUUCUAAAGAUUUGGAGUACAGCGAACAAAUAAAAUGGAUGUUAUUUGUGAA